ACUCCUACGGGAGGCAGCAGUGGGGAAUCUUGCGCAAUGGGCGAAAGCCUGACGCAGCAACGCCGCGUGCGGGAUGACGGCCUUCGUGGUUGUAACCGCUUUCAGCAGGGACGAAAAUGACGGUACCUGCAGAAGAAGUCCCGGCUAACUACGUGCCAGCAGCCGCGGUAAUACGUAGGGACAAGCGUUGUCCGGAUUCAUUGGGCGUAAAGAGCUCGUAGGCGGUCUAGUAAGUUGGGUGUGAAAGCUCCGGGCUCAACCCGGAGAGGUCACCCAAAACUGCUAUGACUAGAGUCCAGUAGAGGAGCGUGGAAUUCCUGGUGUAGCGGUGAAAUGCGCAGAUAUCAGGAGGAACACCAGCAGCGAAGGCGGCGCUCUGGGCUGGAACUGACGCUGAGGAGCGAAAGCAUGGGUAGCAAACAGGAUUAGAUACCCUGGUAGCGACUGA
This 448-nucleotide ribosomal RNA is filed under the name uncultured bacterium. RNAcentral describes it as "bacterial SSU rRNA". It matches the Rfam family "Bacterial small subunit ribosomal RNA", at positions 335 to 798 of the family's 1533-position model. The record is from RNAcentral.